GCUUGCUGGGGGGAUUAGUGGCGAACGGGUGAGUAACACGUGAGUAACCUGCCCUUAACUCUGGGAUAAGCCUUGGAAACGGGGUCUAAUACCGGAUAUUCACUUCUUCACCGCAUGGUGGGUGGUGGAAAGAUUUAUUGGUUUUGGAUGGACUCGCGGCCUAUCAGCUUGUUGGUGAGGUAAUGGCUUACCAAGGCGACGACGGGUAGCCGGCCUGAGAGGGUGACCGGCCACACUGGGACUGAGACACGGCCCAGACUCCUACGGGAGGCAGCAGUGGGGAAUAUUGCACAAUGGGCGCAAGCCUGAUGCAGCGACGCCGCGUGAGGGAUGAAUGCCUUCGGGUUGUAAACCUCUUUCAGUAGGGAAGAAGCGUAAGUGACGGUACCUGCAGAAGAAGCGCCGGCUAACUACGUGCCAGCAGCCGCGGUAAUACGUAGGGCGCAAGCGUUAUCCGGAAUUAUUGGGCGUAAAGAGCUCGUAGGCGGUUUGUCGCGUCUGCCGUGAAAGUCCGGGGCUCAACUCCGGAUCUGCGGUGGGUACGGGCAGACUAGAGUGCAGUAGGGGAGACUGGAAUUCCUGGUGUAGCGGUGAAAUGCGCAGAUAUCAGGAGGAACACCGAUGGCGAAGGCAGGUCUCUGGGCUGUAACUGACGCUGAGGAGCGAAAGCAUGGGGAGCGAACAGGAUUAGAUACCCUGGUAGUCCAUGCCGUAAACGUUGGGCACUAGGUGUGGGGGACAUUCCACGUUUUCCGCGCCGUAGCUAACGCAUUAAGUGCCCCGCCUGGGG
RNAcentral lists this ribosomal RNA (790 nucleotides) under Actinomycetales bacterium 95-1PB. RNAcentral describes it as "bacterial SSU rRNA". It matches the Rfam family "Bacterial small subunit ribosomal RNA", at positions 78 to 878 of the family's 1533-position model. Lineage: Bacteria; Bacillati; Actinomycetota; Actinomycetes; Actinomycetales. The record is from RNAcentral.